This 752-nucleotide ribosomal RNA is filed under the name Escherichia coli. RNAcentral's name for it is "bacterial SSU rRNA". It matches the Rfam family "Bacterial small subunit ribosomal RNA", at positions 38 to 779 of the family's 1533-position model. Lineage: Bacteria; Pseudomonadati; Pseudomonadota; Gammaproteobacteria; Enterobacterales; Enterobacteriaceae. The record is from RNAcentral. RNAcentral also lists the same sequence under 2 other names.
GGCGGCAGGCCUAACACAUGCAAGUCGAACGGUAACAGGAAGCAGCUUGCUGUUUCGCUGACGAGUGGCGGACGGGUGAGUAAUGUCUGGGAAACUGCCUGAUGGAGGGGGAUAACUACUGGAAACGGUAGCUAAUACCGCAUAACGUCGCAAGACCAAAGAGGGGGACCUUCGGGCCUCUUGCCAUCGGAUGUGCCCAGAUGGGAUUAGCUAGUAGGUGGGGUAACGGCUCACCUAGGCGACGAUCCCUAGCUGGUCUGAGAGGAUGACCAGCCACACUGGAACUGAGACACGGUCCAGACUCCUACGGGAGGCAGCAGUGGGGAAUAUUGCACAAUGGGCGCAAGCCUGAUGCAGCCAUGCCGCGUGUAUGAAGAAGGCCUUCGGGUUGUAAAGUACUUUCAGCGGGGAGGAAGGGAGUAAAGUUAAUACCUUUGCUCAUUGACGUUACCCGCAGAAGAAGCACCGGCUAACUCCGUGCCAGCAGCCGCGGUAAUACGGAGGGUGCAAGCGUUAAUCGGAAUUACUGGGCGUAAAGCGCACGCAGGCGGUUUGUUAAGUCAGAUGUGAAAUCCCCGGGCUCAACCUGGGAACUGCAUCUGAUACUGGCAAGCUUGAGUCUCGUAGAGGGGGGUAGAAUUCCAGGUGUAGCGGUGAAAUGCGUAGAGAUCUGGAGGAAUACCGGUGGCGAAGGCGGCCCCCUGGACGAAGACUGACGCUCAGGUGCGAAAGCGUGGGGAGCAAACAGGAUU